RNAcentral lists this non-coding RNA (21 nucleotides) under Caenorhabditis elegans. The record is from RNAcentral. Lineage: Eukaryota; Metazoa; Nematoda; Chromadorea; Rhabditida; Rhabditidae.
UCAGCUGAAAAAUGUAAACCC